UAGUUGAGAUGGGGUUUCUCCAGGUUGGUCAGGCUGGUCUCAAACUCCCGACCUCAGGUGAUCAGCCCGCCUCGGCCUCCCAAAGUGCUGGGAUUACAGGCGUGAGCCACUGCGUGCCCGGCAGCAGAUGAACUUUCAAUCGGAGCAAUGGAAUUCUGUGGGGCAGGGGAUUGCACACUGCACACAUCACAGCUGCUCAUCCAGGGUUCAGGGAGCACAGGUGUUGUGGCACUUGCUUCAUCUUGAGUGGCACGGAGCACAGAGCAGCCCCUGUGGAGUGUGGAAACACCAAACCCUGAGUCACCACUGACUGUUGCCCUGGGCAUAGAACCCCAGGUGAAGGCACUUAACACUGGUUAUCCCUGUGCAUCCAGGAAGCUGAAUGGCGGCCAAAGAAAAAAGUUACAAUGCAGUCAGGCUGGACCAGAGAAUUCCUGCAUGUGCAAGUUUGUG
This is a long non-coding RNA of Homo sapiens (human), 453 nucleotides long. Ensembl annotates it as downregulated RNA in cancer, inhibitor of cell invasion and migration. Its record names the gene DRAIC. NCBI's taxonomy places the organism in Eukaryota, Metazoa, Chordata, Mammalia, Primates, Hominidae. The record is from Ensembl.